AUUGAACGCUGGCGGCAGGCUUAACACAUGCAAGUCGAACGAGUGGCGGACGGGUGAGUAAUGAUUGGGAAUCUAGCUUAUGGAGGGGGAUAACUACGGGAAACUGUAGCUAAUACCGCGUAACAUAGGAGGAGCCCAAGUGGGAUGAGGUAGUUGGUGAGGUAAAGGCUCACCAAGCCGACGAUCUCUAGCUGGUCUGAGAGGAUGACCAGCCACACUGUGACUGAGACACGGCCCAGACUCCUACGGGAGGCAGCAGUUGGAAAUAUUGCUCAAUGGGGGCAACCUGACCCAGCCAUGCCGCGUGAAUGAAGAAUGCCUUCGGGUUGUAAAGUUCUUUCGGUAGCGAGGCGUUAACUACAGAAGAAGCACCGGCUAACUCCGUGCCAGCCGCCGCGGUAAUAC
Molecule: ribosomal RNA, 405 nt
Filed under: uncultured bacterium
Lineage: Bacteria
Description: partial 16S ribosomal RNA
Rfam family: Bacterial small subunit ribosomal RNA
Source: RNAcentral